Non-coding RNA from Delphinapterus leucas (beluga whale), 379 nucleotides. The record is from RefSeq and is a predicted model, not a curated record. Lineage: Eukaryota; Metazoa; Chordata; Mammalia; Artiodactyla; Monodontidae.
GAUAUGUGAACACGUAAAACCAUACCUGUGGAACCUAGAUGCCUCACUUCUAUGGAAUGCAAACAUUGAAUCCAGGUAAAUAAGGAAAAAUAAGAGCAAAGGAGUUUAUGGUUCCUCAGCCUGAAGGUGGAUGCUUUCAACCAAUCGGCUUUGUGACUUCACCUCUGGGGAAUUGUAAUUUAUGCCAAAGAGUAAUUUUGGUCUUUUGAAGUAAUUUUCUCCUUUUGGUGGCAUUUAUCAUAUGGGUCAUGGACACAAAAGUAAAAGUCAAGGCUGUCCCAGUGACUAAAAGCCACCAUAGGAACAAGUAGGGAUGCAUCUCACAGAGACAGCGGUUUCCUUCUUGUUUGAUGAACACCUGGAAGAUUCCCAAAAUAGU